RNAcentral lists this ribosomal RNA (294 nucleotides) under uncultured Microgenomates group bacterium. RNAcentral's name for it is "partial 16S ribosomal RNA". It matches the Rfam family "Bacterial small subunit ribosomal RNA", at positions 369 to 674 of the family's 1533-position model. The record is from RNAcentral.
CCAUGGGCGAAAGCCUGAUGGAGCGACGCCGCGUGGAGGAUGACGGUCUUAAGAUCGUAAACUCCUUUUCUGGAGGAAGAAUUUCUGACGGUACUCUCAUGAAUAAGCACCGGCUAACUCCGUGCCAGCAGCCGCGGUAAUACAGAGGGUGCAAGCGUUACCCGGAAUCAUUGGGCGUAAAGCGUCCGCAGGCGGUUAAUUAAGUCCUAUGUUAAAUCCUGGAAGCCCAACUUCCAGAUGCUGUGUUUGAAACUGAUUAUCUAGAGUCUUUCACAGGUAUGCGGAAUUCUGUGU